CUCGUAGGCGGUUCAACAAGUCGAUCGUGAAAGCCCGGGGCUCAACCCCGGGACGCCGGUCGAAACUGUUGUGACUAGGGUCCGGUAGAGGUGAGUGGAAUUCUCGGUGUAGCGGUGGAAUGCGCAGAUAUCGAGAGGAACACCGGUAGCGAAGGCGGCUCACUGGGCCGGUACCGACGCUGAGGAGCGAAAGCAUGGGGAGCAAACAGGAUUAGAUACCCUGGUAGUCC
RNAcentral lists this ribosomal RNA (230 nucleotides) under uncultured bacterium. RNAcentral's name for it is "partial 16S ribosomal RNA". It matches the Rfam family "Bacterial small subunit ribosomal RNA", at positions 568 to 796 of the family's 1533-position model. The record is from RNAcentral.